ACUGCGACCUACAGUCAGAACGAAAUUCCGUGC
RNAcentral lists this ribosomal RNA (33 nucleotides) under Trachelospermum jasminoides. RNAcentral's name for it is "partial 26S ribosomal RNA". Lineage: Eukaryota; Viridiplantae; Streptophyta; Magnoliopsida; Gentianales; Apocynaceae. The record is from RNAcentral.